GACGAACGCUGGCGGCGUGCCUAAUACAUGCAAGUAGAACGCACAGUUUAUACCGUAGCUUGCUACACCAUAGACUGUGAGUUGCGAACGGGUGAGUAACGCGUAGGUAACCUGCCUGGUAGCGGGGGAUAACUAUUGGAAACGAUAGCUAAUACCGCAUAAUAUUGAUUAUUGCAUGAUAAUUAAUUGAAAGGUGCAAUUGCACCACUACCAGAUGGACCUGCGUUGUAUUAGCUAGUAGGUGAGGUAACGGCUCACCUAGGCGACGAUACAUAGCCGACCUGAGAGGGUGAUCGGCCACACUGGGACUGAGACACGGCCCAGACUCCUACGGGAGGCAGCAGUAGGGAAUCUUCGGCGAUGGACGAAAGUCUGACCGAGCAACGCCGCGUGAGUGAAGAAGGGUUUCGGAUCGUAAAGCUCUGUUGUAAGAGAAGAACGGGUGUGAGAGUGGAAAGUUCACACUGUGACGGUAUCUUACCAGAAAGGGACGGCUAACUACGUG
RNAcentral lists this ribosomal RNA (505 nucleotides) under uncultured bacterium. Its description in RNAcentral is "partial 16S ribosomal RNA". It matches the Rfam family "Bacterial small subunit ribosomal RNA", at positions 28 to 507 of the family's 1533-position model. The record is from RNAcentral.